GGGGAUAUAGCUCAGUUGGGAGAGCGCUGCGUUCGCAAUGCAGAGGUCAGGGGUUCGAGUCCCCUUAUCUCCA
RNAcentral lists this transfer RNA (73 nucleotides) under Actinomycetota bacterium. RNAcentral's name for it is "tRNA-Ala". It matches the Rfam family "tRNA". From Rfam's summary of the family: Transfer RNA (tRNA) molecules are approximately 80 nucleotides in length. The record is from RNAcentral. RNAcentral also lists the same sequence under 1 other name. Lineage: Bacteria; Bacillati; Actinomycetota.